RNAcentral lists this unclassified non-coding RNA (365 nucleotides) under Clostridium botulinum. Its description in RNAcentral is "partial miscellaneous RNA". The stretch from base 1 to 139 matches the Rfam family "Bacterial small subunit ribosomal RNA", at positions 1395 to 1533 of the family's 1533-position model. Lineage: Bacteria; Bacillati; Bacillota; Clostridia; Eubacteriales; Clostridiaceae. The record is from RNAcentral.
CGUCACACCACGAGAGUUGGCAAUACCCAAAGUUCGUGAGCUAACCCGUAAGAGGCAGCGACCUAAGGUAGGGUCAGCGAUUGGGGUGAAGACGUAACAAGGUAGCCGUAGGAGAACCUGCGGCUGGAUCACCUCCUUUCUAUGGAGAAAUCUAGUUAACAUGAUGUUUAACUAGUAAUUAAAAUAUACUUACUUCGAAAAAGAAGGUUUAGUUUAAUGUAGAUUCUGUUCAAUUUUGAAAGACUAAGUCUUUCAAAAUGUUCUUUGAAAAUUGCACAUAGUAAAUUGUAUAUAAUACAACAAGCCAAGAAUAUAUUCUUUGUAUAAAUAAGAACUAUUCAUUAAUUGUUAAAAUUAGAUUAAUA